AGUGAACGCUGGCGGCAGGCCUAACACAUGCAAGUCGAACGGCAGCACAGUAAGAGCUUGCUCUUACGGGUGGCGAGUGGCGGACGGGUGAGGAAUACAUCGGAAUCUACUUUUUCGUGGGGGAUAACGUAGGGAAACUUACGCUAAUACCGCAUACGACCUACGGGUGAAAGCCGGGGACCUUCGGACCUUGCGCGAUUGAAUGAGCCGAUGUUGGAUUAGCUGCUUGGGGGGGUAAAGGCCCACCAAGGGGGCGACCCGUAGCUGGUCGGAGAGGAAGAACAGCCACACGGGAACUGAGGCAGAGCCCAGACUCCGACAGUGAGCAGCAGUGGGGAAUACUGGACAAGGGGGGCAAGGCGGAUCCAGCCAUACCGCGUGAGUGAAGAAGGCCUUCGGGUUGGAAAGCCCAUUUGUUGGGAAAGAAAAGCAGCACGUUCAUACCCCGCUGUUCUGACGGUACCCAAAGAAUAAGCACCGGCUAACUUCGUG
RNAcentral lists this ribosomal RNA (492 nucleotides) under uncultured bacterium. RNAcentral describes it as "partial 16S ribosomal RNA". It matches the Rfam family "Bacterial small subunit ribosomal RNA", at positions 29 to 507 of the family's 1533-position model. The record is from RNAcentral.